UCGAAUCCCGGUUUGGACC
RNAcentral lists this small nuclear RNA (19 nucleotides) under Phaeodactylum tricornutum CCAP 1055/1. RNAcentral describes it as "snRNA PTsRNA00050a". Lineage: Eukaryota; Bacillariophyta; Bacillariophyceae; Surirellales; Neidiaceae. The record is from RNAcentral.